Molecule: long non-coding RNA, 1564 nt
Filed under: Xyrichtys novacula (pearly razorfish)
Lineage: Eukaryota; Metazoa; Chordata; Actinopteri; Labriformes; Labridae
Source: RNAcentral
GUACUUAGUUGCAGUCCACAAAUUGCAUGAGGAAAAGGUAUUAAAUGUACUUCCUAUAUGAUGAGUUUUAGGAUUCAGACUUUGACUUGCAGAGAAUGGGAUUUUAGAGUAUCUGCAUGUACACCUUAACACCUGAGAUGUUUCAAAUCAUCAUGGUGUUGAAUUUUUCAUCAAAGGUACCCACAUCCUAAACAAACCUGUGUUUCAAUAUUUGAUGGUCCACAUGUAACAGAAGACGGACAUCCCGCUGCACUGAAGAUGAACCUGUGAUUGAGAGCGCACACUUCUAGGAAAUACAACAUCCUCGUGAUGUGAUGCAGUUUAUAUCUGUGCUGAGAUCGUCUCGCUCUCACACGUAUCGUAUGAUUGUUGUCACUGAAUUUACUGCGCUUUGAUGACACACAGGGAUGCCGGCCCGAUCUCGCGGUCGGGGAUGGACACAUGAAUGCGCAGGAUGCAUGAGUGUAAACAAAUACAAAUAUCAACCUCUCCUCUGUCUAUCUGAUAAGCACAAACACACACACACUCUCAGCUCUAUCAGGCUCAUCUUACAGCCCGGACUGUCGCUCUUCAUUAGCUGCUUCACUGUCGGUUACUUUAUACAGAGUGAGUGCAGCUGAUCGGCAUCUCAGUCAAAAUAUGCAGGACACUAAAUACAGCUGAAGCCCACUGAUGUUAUGUUACAUGAUAUUAUACUCUAUGAAUAUUCAAAAUAACUGCACGAGCCACUUUGUCUGCAGGCUUACACUUGGAUAGUGGAUCUGACCUGAAUUCCUCUUGAAUGUUUAGUUACUAUUUUGGACCGUGAAGCAAAACAGACUCAUGAGGUCGAAAAGUGACUUUAGUUUGCACCGAAUGUUCACUGUGUGUCCUAUAAAUCCUUUACCUAAGGUUGUGUUUUGUCUUCGGUCUGCUUUCAAAGCUUUCUGCAGAUCAUCACAUCCAUCAGAUUUUCCAAGGCCGAUCACGAGGGCGGCAAAGUCCUUAAUAACCUCUGAGUAAAAUCUGACAAGUGAAACUGACACAUCCUGACACUUUGAUUGUCUAUCAGUCCAGUGAGUGACAUCUUCUUCAACUUGCUUUUACUUCAUGUGACUCUUACUGUCUCUCUUUAUGAUCAUCCUCUCGACAGUUUGUCUGUUUCUCUUUGUUUUUGUUUUUUAGAAAGCUUGUUGUCCCCGAGAAGAUUCCCCCUAAAGCCUGAAGUGUUUGCUGUCCGCGGUUUCAGUGCCUGGAUGCCCAGUUGAGUAUGAGCUUGAAUAAGCCCAAAACAAUGUCUGAUAGUUUUGAGAAGAAUAGUUCUUCUGACUGUACUGAAUCUUUAGAAUCUGUUCAUUAAAAUUAUUCGCUCAAAAGAUUCAUCUCCUGAAUCAGUCAGUGCUUUAGAGCCCCAUCCUGCCAGGUGCAGUUCAUGAGUGAGUGACAGCGGCGUAGAUCAAAAGUUCGUUCAUUGAGUGAGUUCCUCCCCUCCCCUGCUGCUGAAGUCUCAGCGUCGUUCACUGGGUGUAGCAUGUCGUUCGUUCGCCAAGUCGUGAAGGAAGAAUCACUCCCCCACCUCUCUGUG